AUAUGUGUAUAUACAUAUGUAUUCAUUUUAUUCAUUUAUUCAUUAUUAUAUUAUUUUAUAUUUUAUAGGUAAGGAUAUAUAUAUAUGUGUAUAUACACACAUAUAUAUGUGUAUAUAUAUGUGUAUAUAUAUGUGUGUAUAUAUAUACACACACACAUAUAUAUGUUUAUUUGUUCAUUUAUUUAUUAUUUACUUAUUAUUUUUAUUUUAUUGUUAUUUAUUUUUAUUCAUUAUUAUAUUAUUUUAUAUUUUAUAGGUAAGGAUAUAUAUAUAUACGUAUGUAUGUAUAUGUAUGUAUGUAUAUGUAUAUGUACAUAUAUGUAUGUGUGUGUAUAUAUACACAUAUGUGUGAGUGAAUAUAAUAUAAUAUAAUAUAAUAUAAUAUAAUAUAAUAUAACAGUCUACAGGUGGGUAAUGGCUGCCCCCACCCCCCCCUCCCCGGU
This 443-nucleotide long non-coding RNA is filed under the name Lynx pardinus (Iberian lynx). The record is from RNAcentral. Lineage: Eukaryota; Metazoa; Chordata; Mammalia; Carnivora; Felidae.